Molecule: long non-coding RNA, 858 nt
Organism: Drosophila novamexicana
Lineage: Eukaryota; Metazoa; Arthropoda; Insecta; Diptera; Drosophilidae
Exons: 4
Source: RefSeq, a predicted model, not a curated record
CACGUGGGCGCUAUCGAAGAGCUGCAUGUGAUACCAGCAAAUGGCGCGCACCAAGUCCACUGCAAAGUCAAUUUCGGGGCGUGUCGACGAUGCGCAGCAUAUUGCGAAUUAUCAUUGAAAUCAUUCUAGUCCCUUUCGGUGGCACACACGUAAGCAAUGCGAAAUCCAAAUGUGAUUUAAACAAAAAUGACAACUCUGGCAGCGCGUCGGCUAUUCCAAGGCAAUCGCUGUUAUCUGGCAACGCCAAAAGCGAAGAGGAAGAGCGCACGUGCGAGGGCGCGAGCAAAGUGCCGUACGAAAAGCUGCGUAAGUUAAACGAACGUAAAAUGGCAAAAGAAAGUGUUGGGCAACGCCAGUGCUGGGCAACGUCGUUGCGGCCAUGCGGAAAAACUGGCUGCGCCGCCGCGGGCUAAUCAAUUACACGAAGUUGAGCGGGAAAAGGCAAGAACGAAAGAAAGGGGGAACCUGAUCGGGCGCCUGUCAAACGGUUUGACAAACUUGCCGAGACACAUUCUUGAUGUGCGCUUCGUUCCGUGCCGUCCCGUUUAGGAAUUUGCAUUUCUAACCCUCGGAUUCGCCUGGCCAAUGGCCUUUGCGGUUGGGCUGCUGUUUAUAGCCGCCCAGUUGUGAGGUAAUUUUCUUGACAAUUAAAUAUGCAAAUGCCGCUAAAUGUUGCUGUGUGUUUGGCAUUUAGCCCGGCCCCUGGCCCCGCGCACUAUUUAUCCAGCUCGUCUCUGACCCGAACCGAGAAAUACAAAAACAACAGUUCAGCGCUGCAAAUUUGACCCGUUCUCGAUUGGAGGGAAGACGCCAACAAGAGGCCUUGGAAUAUAUCAAAAGAUAUAUCAUACUUUUGUU